CGGCGGACGGGUGAGUAACGCGUGGGUAACCUGCCUCAUACAGGGGGAUAACAGUUGGAAACGGCUGCUAAUACCGCAUAAGCGCACAGUACCGCAUGGUACGGUGUGAAAAACUCCGGUGGUAUGAGAUGGACCCGCGUCUGAUUAGGUAGUUGGUGGGGUAACGGCCUACCAAGCCGACGAUCAGUAGCCGACCUGAGAGGGUGACCGGCCGCAUUGGGACUGAGACACGGCCCAA
This 238-nucleotide ribosomal RNA is filed under the name uncultured bacterium. Its description in RNAcentral is "partial 16S ribosomal RNA". It matches the Rfam family "Bacterial small subunit ribosomal RNA", at positions 96 to 334 of the family's 1533-position model. The record is from RNAcentral.